GUUCAAAGUUUUUGCCAUCAUGUAGGUGAGAAGAAGAGGUAAAGAAUGACAAAAUUUAUAUUUUGAAAUGACUUCAGCUACAGAGUAAAGAAGUUGAAGGAGUUCAUUAAUGAACUGGAGUAAACCAGAUGGAAGAAUGUCACAAUAUUUUAGUCAAGAGCUGUGACAGCCUAGAGUGGUGGUGUUAAAAAUCCAAAGAACUUGACAGCUUUGAAAGAUUUGAAGGUAAAAUGGCUAGGUCUUGGUAAGGGGAUAGGUGGUGUUAAAGAAGAAUCUGAAGUUUUUCCCUUGCAGGUCGAUGCAGUAAAAUGAUAUGUGAUAAGAACACAAGGGGAGACAAAGACAUUUGAGAAGGAUGGACAGAAGGACGGACACAAAUACAUACAUGCAUACAAUAUGCAUGUUACAGGAAGUACAUCAAAAGGAUGCAGCACACAGAUGGUCCUAUAAAUAUUUUGGCAUAUGUUGUUUUCUUUUAGAUUUUUAAAAAAUUUUUAUUAGUGCAUUACAGUUAUACAUAAUAUUGGGGUUCAUUUCAGCAUGAUCAUACAUGCUACUCCACUGUUAUUUCUUUUUCAUGUUAUUCACUGCUCUAAUGAAGACAAACCAUGAACAGUGUUUACCAAGAGUUUGUUGAACAGCCCUGUAUGUCAUGCUGUAUUGGAUACAUGAAUCAAUGGACAAGGCCCCUUGGUCUCAUUGAGCUCAUUUACUUGAUAAUGGAGAAGUAGUUGUAAAUGCUAUGCCUCGUAUUAAAAGAAGGAAAUGUAGGGGCUGGGGUUGUAGCUCAGUUAUAGAGUGCUCACCUAGCAUGCUUGAGGCACUGAGUUUGAUCCUCAGCACCACAUAAAU
RNAcentral lists this long non-coding RNA (852 nucleotides) under Marmota monax (woodchuck). Lineage: Eukaryota; Metazoa; Chordata; Mammalia; Rodentia; Sciuridae. The record is from RNAcentral.